CGUUUCUCAGUUGGAAGGACAGAGAAUCUUAAGAAAUGUAGAAACACAAGAGGAGGAAGAGACAGAGAUAGAGAGACAGAGACAGAGAAAGACAGAAACACAAAGAUGGAGAGACAGGCAGAGGUAGAGAGACAGAGAGAGAUGCACACACACAAAGGAGGAGGGGAGAUAGAGGAGGGAGAGUUGUUUAUGCAACCCAGGGGGCACCAAUGCCAAUCAACAGUUGUACCUUCCCUGUAAAUGUAAAAGGCACCUUCUCUCCUGAUGCCCUUGCACCUACAUUCAGCCUUGGAAGCGUCAGCCAUAGGAGCUAGUGAGGCAGGGAUGAAGUUGAAGAAAAAUCAACAACUGACCACACUUUCCUUCCUGGCCUUGUCUGUCCAGUGACCUCAGCAAGGGCUCCUCUCGGCUCUUCCAUAUGUGGUUUGCUCUCUGAUUGACAUCCAGCUCUUUUCUGUAUCCUACACCCUGAAUGCCUUUUCCACUCCCUUACACGGUCACCACCAACCUUCUGAACUCAGCUGAGGCACACAUUUAAUAUGAUUCCAUUCCUGGAUCAUUUGUAUCUCUGAAAUUCUUCAUCCGUGGUGAGCACUAGCAUGUCUAAGGGCACGACACAAGGCACAUGGUUGUGGCAGCACCCCUUGCAGGAUAGCGGAAGGCUUGCCCAUGGCAGAAACUAAACUGGUCUGUGGAGGGUCUGCCAGGUAGGGAAUAGGGUCCAAGUAGGAAACAAGCUGUAUUUGAUUUGGACAGUGGUUGGCGGAAGCAGAAUCUCCAAUGAAGACUGCAGAGUUCUGGUGCAGAUCAAGGAAUCUGGAAAUGCGGGCUCUUCAGCCAGGCUGUCUUCUGGGAACUUGCUACCACAUAGAGUGUCCUGCCGGGCUGUGGUUCUGGAGGAGAGUCUUAUGCUGGAAGAAAGAGUCCUGUGUACUGGAAUGGCUGCCAAUCAGGAAGACAUAAUGGUAUUGGAGAUGAUUCAGAGAAGAGAAUUUCAAAUGAUCAAGGGGAUAAGAAAGCUGUCUUAUAAGGAUAAACUACAAAGAACAAAAGUUUUCAAGCUAGAAAAACCAGGCUGAAAAGUAAGGAUGAUCAAAGUCUCUAAAGUUAUGAAGUCGAUGGAAAAAAUGAACAUGAAUGUUUUAAAAUCGAAAAAUAGCACAACAACAGGAACAAUUGGGAAGCCAUAGGACAAAAUAAUGAGAAAAAAGUACAUUAGGCAGCAGAUACAGAAGUUAGAGAACUCAUUCCCUAUGGUAUAGAAAAGGAUAUAUUGCAAACAAUUCAAAUAACAUUUUGGCAUGAGUCAUACCUUCUUACAAUAUCCCAAGACAUUCUGUAUAUCCUUAGUAAGUAGUUAAGUUUGAUUUUAGAAAGAACACUUUCUAUCUGUACAUCUAUCCUCCC
This 1407-nucleotide long non-coding RNA is filed under the name Homo sapiens (human). RNAcentral's name for it is "HSALNT0131061". The record is from RNAcentral. Lineage: Eukaryota; Metazoa; Chordata; Mammalia; Primates; Hominidae.